AUGUCCUUGUGUUAUUUGCCAGUGGAAACUUAUUAAACUGGUAAUCGUCAAAAAGGACAGACAACAAAAUUGAGGCAACUCGUUAUUGUUUUUCUUGAAUUUCCAAAAGAGAAAAGCAUAUUCCAUAUGCCGCAAAC
Molecule: small nucleolar RNA, 137 nt
Organism: Eupeodes corollae
Lineage: Eukaryota; Metazoa; Arthropoda; Insecta; Diptera; Syrphidae
Product: small nucleolar RNA psi18S-1377
Exons: 1
Source: RefSeq, a predicted model, not a curated record